GAUGAACGCUGGCGGCGUGCCUAAUACAUGCAAGUCGAGCGAACGGACGAGAAGCCUGCUUCUCUGAUGUUAGCGGCGGACGGGUGAGUAACACGUGGAUAACCUACCUAUAAGACUUGGAUAACUUCGGGAAACCGGAGCUAAUACCGGAUAAUAUUUUGAACCGCAUGGUUCAAAAGUGAAAGACGGUCUUGCUGUCACUUAUAGAUGGAUCCGCGCUGCAUUAGCUAGCUGGUAAGGUAACGGCUUACCAAGGCAACGAUGCAUAGCCGACCUGAGAGGGUGAUGCGCCACACUGGAACUGAGACCCGGUCCAGACUCCUACGGGCGGCAGCAGUAGGGAAUCUUCCGCAAUGGACGAAAGCCUGACGGAGCAACGCCGCGUGAGUGAUGAAGGUCUUCGGAUCGUAAAACUCUGUUAUUAGGGAAGAACAUAUGUGUAAGUAACUGUGCACAUCUUGCCGGUACCUAAUCAGAAAGCCACGGCUAACUGCGUG
Molecule: ribosomal RNA, 497 nt
Filed under: uncultured bacterium
Lineage: Bacteria
Description: partial 16S ribosomal RNA
Rfam family: Bacterial small subunit ribosomal RNA
Source: RNAcentral